UCGCACUGUCAUCCUGGCUGGAAUGCAGUGGUGCAAGCCGACUCACUGCAACCUCUGCCUCUUGGGUUCAAGUGAUUCUCCUGCUUCAGCCUCCUGAUUUGCUGGGAUUGCAGAGCAAACCAGUGAAAAAAUGGCCUUCGCACUCCUGAGAGACCUUUCACCGGGCUUUCUACUUUUGAAUUCUCUCCAUAGCUGGUUUCCUCUUAGGCCUCGAUAGAGCAGGUAUGCUGACUACGUCUUUUCCUGGUACAAACCAUCAUGGGGGAAACACACAGCAAGAAGCAUCUUCAGGUCACAAGAUAGGUAAUACCAUCUACCUGAAUUUUUUCAAAAGCAGCAGAAUAUUUAGU
This 350-nucleotide long non-coding RNA is filed under the name Homo sapiens (human). RNAcentral describes it as "HSALNT0298437". Lineage: Eukaryota; Metazoa; Chordata; Mammalia; Primates; Hominidae. The record is from RNAcentral.